Molecule: ribosomal RNA, 475 nt
Filed under: uncultured organism
Description: partial 16S ribosomal RNA
Rfam family: Bacterial small subunit ribosomal RNA
Source: RNAcentral
CACUCCUACGGGAGGCAGCAGUGGGGAAUUUUGGACAAUGGGCGAAAGCCUGAUCCAGCAAUGCCGCGUGCAGGAUGAAGGCCUUCGGGUUGUAAACUGCUUUUGUACGGAACGAAAAAGCUCCUUCUAAUACAGGGGGCCCAUGACGGUACCGUAAGAAUAAGCACCGGCUAACUACGUGCCAGCAGCCGCGGUAAUACGUAGGGUGCGAGCGUUAAUCGGAAUUACUGGGCGUAAAGCGUGCGCAGGCGGUUAUGUAAGACAGAUGUGAAAUCCCCGGGCUCAACCUGGGAACUGCAUUUGUGACUGCAUGGCUAGAGUACGGUAGAGGGGGAUGGAAUUCCGCGUGUAGCAGUGAAAUGCGUAGAUAUGCGGAGGAACACCGAUGGCGAAGGCAAUCCCCUGGACCUGUACUGACGCUCAUGCACGAAAGCGUGGGGAGCAAACAGGAUUAGAAACCCUAGUAGUCCCAUGA